UUGUUCUUUCCAUAUUACAGAUUUGGCAUAUUUAAGUCUUCACAAUGGAUAGGUUAUGGAGUGAAUUGUAUCAUGAGAGAAAGUAAUGAUGAUUCCAUCUGCCAUUUUCAGUGGUUAAAGAGGACACACACUGUGAAGAGGAAAUGAAUCUAGGCUUUCACAGACUCUAAGCAUGAGGAGGGUCCAGCAGCUUAUUUCCCUAGCAGUUCAGUAAUUCUAGUCCCAUUUCCAGCUCAACCUGAAUGCUUUGACUUUCAGAUGGAUUGCAAAGGACCUCCUUGACUCUCAAAGAGGUAAUGACCUGAAUUACAGAGAAG
RNAcentral lists this long non-coding RNA (317 nucleotides) under Cyanistes caeruleus (blue tit). RNAcentral's name for it is "lncRNA (ENSCCEG00000000911.1)". Lineage: Eukaryota; Metazoa; Chordata; Aves; Passeriformes; Paridae. The record is from RNAcentral.